This 517-nucleotide ribosomal RNA is filed under the name Boeremia exigua. RNAcentral describes it as "eukaryotic LSU rRNA". The stretch from base 159 to 312 matches the Rfam family "5.8S ribosomal RNA". Lineage: Eukaryota; Fungi; Ascomycota; Dothideomycetes; Pleosporales; Didymellaceae. The record is from RNAcentral.
CCUGCGGAAGGAUCAUUACCUAGAGUUGUAGGCUUUGCCUACCAUCUCUUACCCAUGUCUUUUGAGUACCUUCGUUUCCUCGGCGGGUCCGCCCGCCGAUUGGACAAACUUAAACCCUUUGUAAUUGAAAUCAGCGUCUGAAAAAACAUAAUAGUUACAACUUUCAACAACGGAUCUCUUGGUUCUGGCAUCGAUGAAGAACGCAGCGAAAUGCGAUAAGUAGUGUGAAUUGCAGAAUUCAGUGAAUCAUCGAAUCUUUGAACGCACAUUGCGCCCCUUGGUAUUCCAUGGGGCAUGCCUGUUCGAGCGUCAUUUGUACCUUCAAGCUCUGCUUGGUGUUGGGUGUUUGUCUCGCCUUUGCGUGUAGACUCGCCUUAAAACAAUUGGCAGCCGGCGUAUUGAUUUCGGAGCGCAGUACAUCUCGCGCUUUGCACUCAUAACGACGACGUCCAAAAAGUACUUUUUACACUCUUGACCUCGGAUCAGGUAGGGAUACCCGCUGAACUUAAGCAUAUCA